CCUACGGGAGGCAGCAGUGAGGAAUAUUGGUCAAUGGGCGGAAGCCUGAACCAGCCAAGUAGCGUGCAGGAUGACGGCCCUACGGGUUGUAAACUGCUUUUAUACGGGAAUAACGCGCCUUACGUGUAGGGCUUUGCAUGUACCGUAUGAAUAAGGACCGGCUAAUUCCGUGCCAGCCGCCGCGGUAAUACGGAAGGUCCGGGCGUUAUCCGGAUUUAUUGGGUUUAAAGGGGACGUAGGCCGGAUGUCAAGCGUGCUGUGAAAUGGCCGGGCUCAACCCGGGCCUUGCAGCGCGAACUGGCGUGCUGGAGUCCGCGGAAAGCAGGCGGAAUUCGUCGUGUAGCGGUGAAAUGCUUAGAUAUGACGAAGAACCCCGAUUGCGAAGGCAGCUUGCUGCAGCGGAACUGACGCUGAUGCUCGAAAGCGCGGGUAGCGAACAGGAUUAGAUACCCUUGUAGUC
RNAcentral lists this ribosomal RNA (460 nucleotides) under uncultured bacterium. RNAcentral describes it as "partial 16S ribosomal RNA". It matches the Rfam family "Bacterial small subunit ribosomal RNA", at positions 338 to 795 of the family's 1533-position model. The record is from RNAcentral.